GGUAGCGUGGCCGAGCGGUCGGCGCUGGUUUAAGGCACCAGUCUAAGGCGCUGGUUUAAGGCACCAGUCUCUCCGAGAGGCGUGGGUUCGAAUCCCACCGCUGCCA
Non-coding RNA from Trichonephila clavipes, 106 nucleotides. NCBI's taxonomy places the organism in Eukaryota, Metazoa, Arthropoda, Arachnida, Araneae, Nephilidae. The record is from the annotation of a GenBank genome assembly.